CAUGCAAGUCGAACGGGUAACAGGCCGCAAGGUGCUGACGAGUGGCGAACGGGNNGAAUAAUGCAUCGGAACGUGCCCAGUCGUGGGGGAUAANGCAGCGAAAGCUGUGCUAAUACCGCAUACGAUCUAUGGAUGAAAGCGGGGGACCGUAAGGCCUCGCGCGAUUGGAGCGGCCGAUGUCAGAUUAGGUAGUUGGUGGGGUAAAGGCCCACCAAGCCAACGAUCUGUAGCUGGUCUGAGAGGACGACCAGCCACACUGGAACUGAGACACGGUCCAGACUCCUACGGGAGGCAGCAGUGGGGAAUUUUGGACAAUGGGCGCAAGCCUGAUCCAGCAAUGCCGCGUGCAGGAAGAAGGCCUUCGGGUUGUAAACUGCUUUUGUACGGAACGAAACGGUCUGGGUUAAUACCUCGGGCUAAUGACGGUACCGUAAGAAUAAGCACCGGCUAACUACGUGCCAGCAGCCGCGGUAAUACGUAGGGCGCAAGCGUUAAUCGGAAUUACUGGGCGUAAAGCGUGCGCAGGCGGUUUUGUAAGACAGUCGUGAAAUCCCCGGGCUCAACCUGGGAAUUGCGAUUGUGACUGCAAGGCUGGAGUGCGGCAGAGGGGGAUGGAAUUCCGCGUGUAGCAGUGAAAUGCGUANAUAUGCGGAGGAACACCGAUGGCGAAGGCAAUCCCCUGGGCCUGCACUGACGCUCAUGCACGAAAGCGUGGGGAGC
This 720-nucleotide ribosomal RNA is filed under the name uncultured Pseudomonadota bacterium. Its description in RNAcentral is "bacterial SSU rRNA". It matches the Rfam family "Bacterial small subunit ribosomal RNA", at positions 54 to 769 of the family's 1533-position model. Lineage: Bacteria; Pseudomonadati; Pseudomonadota. The record is from RNAcentral.